UACCAGCUCUCCGAGUGGUAGGGAUGAUUAUUGGGCUUAAAGCGUCCGUAGCCGGCUUAGCAAGUUUCCUGUUAAAUUCAGCGACCUAAUCGUUGAGCCGCGGGAAAUACUACUAGGCUAGGAGGCGGGAGAGGUCGACGGUACUUCUGGGGUAGGGGUGAAAUCCUAUAAUCCCGGGAGGACCACCAGUGGCGAAGGCUGUCGACUAGAACGCGCUCGACGGUGAGGGACGAAAGCUGGGGGAGCGAACCGGAUUAGAUACCCGGGUAGUCCCAGCUGUAAACGAUGCGGGCUAGGUGUUGGGGUGGCUACGUGCCACUUCAGUGCCGCAGGGAAGCCAUUAUGCCCGCCGCCUGGGGAGUACGGCCGCAAGGCUGAAACUUAAAGGAAUUGGGCGGGGAGCACCACAAGGCGUGAAGCUUGCGGUC
This 428-nucleotide ribosomal RNA is filed under the name uncultured archaeon. Its description in RNAcentral is "bacterial SSU rRNA". It matches the Rfam family "Archaeal small subunit ribosomal RNA", at positions 474 to 902 of the family's 1478-position model. The record is from RNAcentral.